Molecule: long non-coding RNA, 796 nt
Filed under: Callithrix jacchus (white-tufted-ear marmoset)
Lineage: Eukaryota; Metazoa; Chordata; Mammalia; Primates; Cebidae
Description: lncRNA (ENSCJAG00000085772.1)
Source: RNAcentral
ACAGUGAGAAGGUGACCGUCUGUAACCCAAAGAGAUCCUUCACCAGACACCAACACUGUUGGCACCUUGAUUUUGGGUAUCCAGUCUCCAGAACUGUGCUGUAAGGAAACUGCCUACGGCUCCUUUCCCAGGAUAAUAAGAAGUGCCUUUUGCCUCCGCCAUGAUUCUGACCCCCUCCCCGCCCAGCCAUGGGGAACUGUAAGUACAAUUAAACCUCUUUUUCUUCCUUUUUCCUUUUCUUUCUUCUCUUUUUCUUUUUCGUGUUCAUGCUUUUUAUCAGCAGCAUGAACACGAAAUAAUCUAGAUAAGAAGAACUCUGUUUCAGUGCAUGACAUGUAUUUGAUUUAAAGAAAUCAAGGGAACUUUGGUUUCUAUGGCAGUUGGAGACUUUUAGGCCACUUACUAUUAUUGUCUCAAUUUUAGCUUUUGCAUGUCUUACCAAUUCCAGCAAUAAAACCAAGCAUGUGAAAUAGGAAUUUUAUCUGAUUUAGCUUGAGUCUCAAUUCAUUUUCUUCUAACUCUCAACUCAGGUUACUCACUGAAGAGAACAUUUUUGACUGUAUUGAUUGGUCUCCUUUUAGAUGCUGUUAUUGAAUAUAUUCAUUUAAACCUUGUCUUUAGAAACAACGGAAUCCAUAGCAUGCUCAGUUUCUUUGCUUGCUCGCAGUAGUGAAAUAGUUAGAAAAUUUUUCUGUCUAUCUGAUAAAGAUUAUGUAAACACUUUGAAGUUUACAAUAAGCUUUGCAAUCCAUUUUUUAAUCCUUACAGCAAAACCAUACAGCAGGCUUAGCCUGAG